CGCACAUUGCGCCCCUCGGUAUUCCGUGGGGCAUGCCUGUUCGAGCGUCAUUUACACCCUCAAGCCUAGCUUGGUAUUGGGCGUUUGUCAAGCCUUUAGGCAUUUGACUCGCUUUAAAAUUAUUGGCAGCCUGCCUUCGCCCGUCCGAGCACAGCACAAACGUGUAUCGAGACAGCAAAAGCAAGCUCUCCAAAAGUAACUAUCUUAGUUUGACCUCGGAUCAGGUAGGAAUACCCGCUGAACUUAA
RNAcentral lists this unclassified non-coding RNA (247 nucleotides) under Pleosporales sp. Its description in RNAcentral is "partial contains 5.8S ribosomal RNA, internal transcribed spacer 2, and large subunit ribosomal RNA". Lineage: Eukaryota; Fungi; Ascomycota; Dothideomycetes; Pleosporales. The record is from RNAcentral.